RNAcentral lists this transfer RNA (72 nucleotides) under Kocuria palustris. Its description in RNAcentral is "tRNA-His". It matches the Rfam family "tRNA". Rfam says of the family: Transfer RNA (tRNA) molecules are approximately 80 nucleotides in length. Their secondary structure includes four short double-helical elements and three loops (D, anti-codon, and T loops). Further hydrogen bonds mediate the characteristic L-shaped molecular structure. tRNAs have two regions of fundamental functional importance: the anti-codon, which is responsible for specific mRNA codon recognition, and the 3' end, to which the tRNAs corresponding amino acid is attached (by aminoacyl-tRNA synthetases). tRNAs cope with the degeneracy of the genetic code in two manners: having more than one tRNA (with a specific anti-codon) for a particular amino acid; and 'wobble' base-pairing, i.e. permitting non-standard base-pairing at the 3rd anti-codon position. Lineage: Bacteria; Bacillati; Actinomycetota; Actinomycetes; Micrococcales; Micrococcaceae. The record is from RNAcentral.
GCCGGUCUAGUAUAGUGGUUAGUACGGUUCGUUGUGGCCGAACAAACCCAGGUUCGAUUCCUGGGGCCGGCA